AAUCUUCCACAAUGGACGAAAGUCUGAUGGAGCAACGCCGCGUGAGCGAAGAAGGUUUNCGGAUCNUNAAGCUCUGUUGCGAGGGNCGAACAAGUACGGGAGUAACUGCCUGUACCUUGACGGUACCUCGUCAGCAAGCCACGGCUAACUACGUGCUCGUAGACGCGGUAAUACGUAGGUGGCAAUCGUUGUCCGGAAUUAUUGGGCGUAAAGCGCGAGCAGGCGGUCCUUUAAGUCUGAUGUGAAAGCCCACGGCUCAACCGUGGAGGGUCAUUGGAAACUGGAGGACUUGAGUACAGAAGAGGAAAGCGGAAUUCCACGUGUAGCGGUGAAAUGCGUAGAGAUGUGGAGGAACACCAGUGGCGAAGGCGGCUUUCUGGUCUGUAACUGACGCUGAGGCGCGAAAGCGUGGGGAGCAAACA
This 422-nucleotide ribosomal RNA is filed under the name uncultured bacterium. RNAcentral describes it as "partial 16S ribosomal RNA". It matches the Rfam family "Bacterial small subunit ribosomal RNA", at positions 360 to 774 of the family's 1533-position model. The record is from RNAcentral.